GACGAACGCUGGCGGCGUGCUUAACACAUGCAAGUCGAACGGAAAGGCCCUGCUUUUGUGGGGUGCUCGAGUGGCGAACGGGUGAGUAACACGUGAGUAACCUGCCCUUGACUUUGGGAUAACUUCAGGAAACUGGGGCUAAUACCGGAUAGGAGCUCCUGCUGCAUGGUGGGGGUUGGAAAGUUUCGGCGGUUGGGGAUGGACUCGCGGCUUAUCCGCUUGUUGGUGGGGUAGUGGCUUACCAAGGCUUUGACGGGUAGCCGGCCUGGGAGGGUGACCGGCCACAUUGGGACUGAGAUACGGCCCAGACUCCUACGGGAGGCAGCAGUGGGGAAUAUUGCACAAUGGGCGGAAGCCUGAUGCAGCAACGCCGCGUGCGGGAUGACGGCCUUCGGGUUGUAAACCGCUUUCGCCUGUGACGAAGCGUGAGUGACGGUAAUGGGUAAAGAAGCACCGGCUAACUAUGUG
RNAcentral lists this ribosomal RNA (468 nucleotides) under uncultured bacterium. Its description in RNAcentral is "partial 16S ribosomal RNA". It matches the Rfam family "Bacterial small subunit ribosomal RNA", at positions 28 to 507 of the family's 1533-position model. The record is from RNAcentral.